Molecule: long non-coding RNA, 3985 nt
Organism: Fukomys damarensis (Damara mole-rat)
Lineage: Eukaryota; Metazoa; Chordata; Mammalia; Rodentia; Bathyergidae
Source: Ensembl
AUGUGCGAGGCACAAAGAAGGGUACAGAACCAAGGCACACUCUAUUUGCAGAAUAAAGUACAGAGCAGCACACUUCUCAGCAUCUCUAAAGUCAGGAUGUGUCUACAGAUGAUCUCACCAGCUCUCCAUCCAGGUGGCCUGUGGCUCACACAGCCAGCUACUCACUGCUCUCCUCCCAGCCCGCAUAGUCCCUCUGGCCUGCAUCCUCUCACCAGUGCCCUGGACUCCAAACUGAAGGCUUUUCAACCCAGCCAGAGUGCCACAGGCCAGGGUGGACAACUGCAGCAUGGUUCGGCCCUGUGUCCGGUUACGGGCUCUCAUCUGGACAGAGGACAGUAACAGACUGAGAACAUACUGGGUCAGAGCAAACAGCGCCUCAGGACUUCAAAAGAGUGUCUUAUAAAUAGACAGCAUCUUAAAUUUGAUGAAAUACAAUGAAAAGUUACAGCCCAAAUCUAUAGUUGUGCCCCAGGGUUAAGAAUUACCUACAGGGAGGAGCUACACAGUGUACUUACAGUGCAAAUCAACGUCUUCACCUUCCGUUAGUAAAAGAAAAACUCAAGACAAACACAAGAGUAAUGAUAGGCAGAAACCAAUGAGUUUGAAAUAGAAAAACAAUAUAAAAUCAUUAUAAGCAGGCUCCUUAAAAAAGUAAAUAAAACUAAUACGCCUAAAGAAGAGAGAAUGAGAAAAGCCACCUUAUCAGCAGCAUUGCUGCUGUCUCUUCACUGACAGUAAGGGGUAAACGAGGGCUCAGAAGUCACCCAGACACUAAGGGUGACAAACAAACACCAAAACUACGCUAGCACAUAAGUUUGAUAAUUUUUGUGGAAAUGACCAAUUUUUUAAAAAUCACAACCUACCAAAAAGAAUUCAUUUAAAAAAGUCAAUAAUCUGUCUAGGUUUAUAUGGUAUGUGAUCAGUUAACUGAAUUAAUAACUUAAGACCUUCUAAAGGGCAAAAUCGCAGGUCUAUGCAGCCUGAUUGAUAAAGUCUACCAAACACUUGAUGAAAAAUGGAACACAUCUCAAUUCACUUUGAUAUCAGAAUAAGGAAAAUACAAUAAAGAACCCCUAGGCCGGGGUCUGGCUCGGUGGGAGAGCGCUUAUUAGCAUUGCUAUUACUAUUAUUAGGUGUGAACUCCAGCACCACAGAAAAACAAAAAUAUUAAUGACAUUAAAAAAUAAAACUACAGUCUUUGUAUUAAGCAUGAAAAUGCAUGACAAAAAAGACAUCAAGUCCAGCAAGAUGUAAAAAGUCUUAAUACAGCAUGAGUCAGGGUUGUGAAUGUCAGGACUGCAAAUUGAUUCAGACUUUGAAAGUCAGCCAGGGAAAAAUCCAUGACAUUAACAGAGCAGAAAGAAAGGCAACACUGUUGUGUUAAUCGAUGUAUAACGGGUGUUUGAUAAUUUUUCCACCCAUGCAUGGUAAAAACUGUCAGCAAACUGAUGAAUGCAUCUGCAAAACAAAUAGAAAUGUAAAACAAAGUGAAAGGAGCAAGCCGACCUCAGGUCUCAGCGCUGAGCCUGUACUUCGUGGUGCAGAGAUGAGUGUCUGCUCCCCUCAGCCGAUGAUGUAGGCAACUUUGUCCGUCCCCACAUCUCCUUACCAGUGCUCUUGCUUGGGUGGCACAGUGAGGAGAAGGAAGGAAGACAGGCAGGGCAGAAGAAAGAGCAACUUGCAGGUGACAGAACUGUGCACGUAGCAGACAACAGAGAGCUGGCCAAAAGCUCUUCGAACAAAAAAGGGAAUUCACCAAAUAAUUGGAAACUGAAAAAUUUAAAUGUUAUAUGUAAGAGCUCAGUGUGAAAGUUACAGAUGCAAACAAAGGAACUGAAAGGACUAAAUAAGUUAGGAGAUGGACACGGAUGUCUCAGAUGGAGAACAAAGCUAUGGAAUAAAGAGUCCAGACAGACAGCCACACAAAUAGGCCGACUGAUAUUUGUUUAUAAAGAUUGAAAAGCAAAUCAAAGGAGAAGGAAUAGUUUAUUCAGCAAACAUUGAAACAACUAUACAUCCAUAUCCAAGAGCAGAGGAAGAAAAACCCCAGUGAACCUCAGCUUAUGUCUCAUGUUCCAUAUGACAGUGAGGUGAAAAUGGAGCACAUACUCCUGCGAAACGUGAAGGCGUAAUUCCAGGGAGUAACUGCUUCGUCUUGGGUUGGAGAAGGUUAUCAGGCAUGAUAAAGCACAAUUUGUGAAAGUAGUAUUGAUGAGUGAGGCUUCAGAAAAAUAUUUGUUCAAACGAGAGUCAAAGGAACAAAAAGGUCAGUUAUGACUUGGAAGGAAACACUGGCAAAGCACACAUGUGAGCCAUUAGAACGGAUGAAAGUAGAAACUCUGAUAAUGCCAAGUGUUGUCGAGGAUUUGUGGGAAAUAAAACUCUCACAUUCCCUAUGGGUAGAAAGGUAAAAUAGUUUAAUUAUUUAGGGAGAUGGCCAUUGCUUCAAAAUGUAAACAUCCAAGGGGCUAGGGAUUCAGCUCAGUGGUGCUGCCACCUGCCUCACAAGCACAAGGUCCUGAGUUCAACCCCCAGUACAAAAAAGAAAAACAAAAUCACAAAAUGUAAAUAUUCACCUGCCAUAGUAUCUGUUUCACUCCUAGGCAUUUAUUUCUUUCUAAUUUUUUUAUUCAUUAAAUUUAUUGGUAAAUUUUAGGUAUACAAUAUCUCAACAUCCAUCAUUGGGAAUUUGUACCUUUACAUGAUAUAUCUUGGUUCUCAUUUUUUUCCCCAUAACCCUGCCCUCCCCUCAGCCCCUCCACCCUUCCCUAUUUACAAAGACUUUGUUUCUGUUUUUUCCUUUUCUCAUAUUUAUUUAUUCCUUUCCCUUCUUUCAUUCCCUCAACCUCUCCCCUUCCCCUUCCCCUUCCCCUCUGGAACUUUUCUUCCUAUUUCCCAUUAUCUGUUAUAUAUUUUGAUCCUCAUUUACACUGAGUUUCUCACAGCAGAGAAACUAUUCGCUAUUUACCACAUGCCCUAUUUAUUUCGCUUAAGAGUAUGGCCUCAGUGUGCAUCCAUUUAGCUGUAAAUGUCUCUAGUUUCUUAUUCUUUAUGGCUGAGUAGUGCUCCAUUGUAUAGAAAGACCACAUCUUCUUUAUUCAGUCAACAGUUGAUGGACAUCUGGGCUGUUUCCAAGUUUUAGCUAUGAUGGACUGUCCUGCUAUAAACAUAGGUGCACAUAUAUCACUGUGGUAUGAUUCUUUUAAUUCUUUUGGAAAGACACCCAGCAGGGGAAUAGCAGGCUCAAAUGGGACCUUGAGUCCUAGUUUUUUGAGGAAUCUCCAUACUGAUUUCCACAGUGGUUGCACCAGUCUGCAUUCGUACGUGUGUGAUCCGCAGUGGUGGGAAGCUGUGUGUAUGUGGAUCUCGAUCCUCCUUACCGCCCCUCCCCCAUCUAACCCCCUACAGACCCGUGCCCUCUCCAUCUGUCUCCUGUUUCCUGUCAUCCGUCACUGACCUUGCUCUCCAGAUUAUUUCCACUUUGCGUUUACCUUCUGAGUCUGAUCCAUUCCACUUGGCGUUAUGGUCCCCAGGUGCACCCAGUGUCAUGUGGCUGACUCAAAUUGACUCUUCUUUGUGGCUGUGUAGAAGCCCACGUGCACCACCUUUUCCCGUAUCUAUUCGUCUAGCCAUUGUGAGUCACGCUGCUACAAACACGCGGGCACGUGACACUGUGCUGUCAGCUAGGUCUUUAUUUACAUGGAGGACAAGAACGUUAUGUCUAGCCAAGACUUGAGCACAGAGUUUCACAGCAGGCAAAUUUGUAGUAGCCUAACUUUGGAAACUACCUCAAUGCCCACCGGGUGAGUGCGUGGGCAAACUGGAGGAUGUGCCCAUAUUAAAAGAGAAGGAACCAUUGAUAAAGCAACAAGAAUGACUGUUUUUUUGAGUGAGAGAAGAGUAAAGUGGUAUAGCAGCACAGUUUGUAAUAGCUAAAACUUGGAAACAGCCCAUUUGCCCAUCAGCUGGAAACUGGAUAAAGAAG